RNAcentral lists this ribosomal RNA (480 nucleotides) under uncultured bacterium. RNAcentral's name for it is "partial 16S ribosomal RNA". It matches the Rfam family "Bacterial small subunit ribosomal RNA", at positions 29 to 507 of the family's 1533-position model. The record is from RNAcentral.
ACGAACGUUGGCGGCGUGCUUAAUACAUGCAAGUCAACUGAAGCAGUGGUAGCAAUAUCGCUGUGGAGGUGGCGCACGGGUGAGUAACACGUAGGUAAUCUGCCUUCAGGUCUGGCAUAACUCCGGGAAACCGGGGCUAAUAGCAGAUGAUGCAGCGGCUCGACAUCGAGACAGUUGUUAAAGCUAUGGCGCCUGAAGAUGAGCCUGCGUCUGAUUAGCUAGUUGGCGGGGUAACGGCCCACCAAGGCAACGAUCAGUAGCUGGUCUGAGAGGAUGAUCAGCCACACUGGAACUGAGACACGGUCCAGACUCCUACGGGAGGCAGCAGUAAGGAAUACUGCUCAAUGGGAGAAAUCCUGAAGCAGCAACGCCGCGUGAGGGACGAAGGGCUUUUGCUUGUAAACCUCUGUAGUGAGAGAAAAAAAUCCCAAUCUUUGGGACAUGAUGGUAUCUCAAGAGUAAGCCCCGGCUAACUACGUG